Long non-coding RNA from Phyllostomus discolor (pale spear-nosed bat), 231 nucleotides. RefSeq lists it as uncharacterized. The record is from RefSeq and is a predicted model, not a curated record. NCBI's taxonomy places the organism in Eukaryota, Metazoa, Chordata, Mammalia, Chiroptera, Phyllostomidae. The transcript is spliced from 3 exons.
CCCAGCCCGGGGCGAGCCCAAGGCCCCGUCCCCAGCGGUGAGGAAGGGCACCUGCUGGGUCCAGAUGCUGGGGGGACCGCGGGACUGGGCUUGGCCCACACACGUGCCUGCUUCCUCGAGGCUGGUGUGAAAGGCUGUUACCGGGAAUUUCUAAAGACAAGGGUGACUUUUAACUUGAGGACCAAAGAGACUGACUUGUUCACGAGGUUCCAGUGUUGGAUGUCAACCCCA